UUGAAAACAAAUCAUGGAUUUAUUGACUGAUGUGUAUAUGGUUUUGCAAUAAUUGCAGGAUUCCAGCCAAUCUCCAAGAGAAGUGCGUAUCACAAAUAUUUCCGGGCUUCCAUCAGAAGAUGAUCUUCUGAUAUACAAAAGGUUUGUUAAUUUGGGCCAAAGCCAGCGGAAGGUUGAUGCACACAGCCAACAAAGCAGUACAAAACAUCUAGACAGCAUGAUGACUAUAUCGGAACCAGCCUCUUCGUUCCUUCGGGACAGCAUUUACGAGGUGCAUCUGGCUGGUCUGGACGCAAAAUCGGCACAAAUCUUCACUUCCCACAUCCAGACUGGCAAAGGCAUAAUACAGCCCUUGUGUCGGGAAGACCUGGUACUCUACAGAGAAUACAUCAAAAGCCGAUACAUGUGAAGAGACUUUGCAUGGCGGCCCUGGAAACAUUAAAUGUCAGAGGUUAGCAUGCGAUGAUUAUUCAAUGGAACUAAAUGCCAGGAAUCAUUGUUCCGGAAAAAUGACAAUUUCAGAACUUAAAAUUGUCUCUUCUGUCUGAUUCAUACCAUGGGCUAAGAACUCCAAUUUCAAAAACGAGGAUGUUUUCCAAAGAUAAUGAUUGCUUUCAAUACGAGAUCAAUUAACAAUGGACCAUUUCGGGGGAAGCUCAUUAUGUCUCAUAUUAGUUUUGCUUUAUUAAUGGCCCUGUCCCACUGUACGAGCUCAUUUAAGAGCUCUCCCGAGUUAAAAAAAAAAAUCAAACUCGUGGAAGCACAUAGAAUGUACGUAGCGGGCACGUCGGAGCUCGGGACGUCUCUUAGCGGCUCGUAACGCUUACGGCAGGUACUCGGGAAACGCGGUAAGCUCGGGAAGACUCGUGAAGAUUUUUCAACAUGUUAUAAAUGUCCACGAGAGCCCCGUGUACCAACGAGUGGCUAUUACCGUAAAUCUCCGAGUUCAAAUCAGGGCAAACUCUGGAGAACUCUUGAAUGAACUCGUACAGUGGGACAGGGCCAUAAGUCUUCAGUUUAAGUUAUUUAGAUAAUAAGGAAUUAUUUAAGUGACAUCUCAGCAGCUUAAUAUAUCUAAUCAGUACAUUCAAUGUCAAUGUUAUUAAUUAUUGAUUAUUUUUCUUCCCUUAAAUAUUAAAUGCCGCUUCAAACUUU
Leucoraja erinaceus (little skate) is the source of this 1155-nucleotide long non-coding RNA. RefSeq lists it as uncharacterized. The transcript has 3 exons. Lineage: Eukaryota; Metazoa; Chordata; Chondrichthyes; Rajiformes; Rajidae. The record is from RefSeq and is a predicted model, not a curated record.